Molecule: ribosomal RNA, 291 nt
Filed under: uncultured prokaryote
Description: partial 16S ribosomal RNA
Rfam family: Bacterial small subunit ribosomal RNA
Source: RNAcentral
GUGUCAGCAGCCGCGGUAAUACGUAGGGGGCUAGCGUUAUCCGGAAUUACUGGGCGUAAAGGGUGCGUAGGUGGUUUCUUAAGUCAGAGGUGAAAGGCUACGGCUCAACCGUAGUAAGCCUUUGAAACUGGGAAACUUGAGUGCAGGAGAGGAGAGUGGAAUUCCUAGUGUAGCGGUGAAAUGCGUAGAUAUUAGGAGGAACACCAGUUGCGAAGGCGGCUCUCUGGACUGUAACUGACACUGAGGCACGAAAGCGUGGGGAGCAAACAGGAUUAGAUACCCCGGUAGUCC